CAGGUACCCACGAACAAUCCCACCCGGAGUAUACUCUUUUUAAUCUCUUGUGUGGACCUAAGGGCUCCGAGA
The sequence is a small nucleolar RNA, 72 nucleotides long. It matches the Rfam family "Trypanosomatid snoRNA TB11Cs3H1".